RNAcentral lists this ribosomal RNA (253 nucleotides) under uncultured bacterium. Its description in RNAcentral is "partial 16S ribosomal RNA". It matches the Rfam family "Bacterial small subunit ribosomal RNA", at positions 524 to 776 of the family's 1533-position model. The record is from RNAcentral.
UACAGAGGUCCCAAGCGUUACUGAGAAUCACUGGGUUUAAAGGGUGCGUAGGUGGUCCGUUAAGUCAGUUGUGAAAUCCCCGGGCUCAACCCGGGAACUGCUUCUGAUACUGGCGGACUUGAGGCCAGUAGGGGUCACUAGAACUGACGGUGGAGCGGUGAAAUGCGUAGAUAUCGUCAGGAAUGCCGGUGGUGAAGACGGGUGACUGGGCUGGUUCUGACACUGAGGCACGAAAGCGUGGGGAGCGAACGGG